This 450-nucleotide ribosomal RNA is filed under the name uncultured bacterium. RNAcentral describes it as "partial 16S ribosomal RNA". It matches the Rfam family "Bacterial small subunit ribosomal RNA", at positions 354 to 796 of the family's 1533-position model. The record is from RNAcentral.
GUGGGGAAUAUUGGACAAUGGGCGAAAGCCUGAUCCAGCCAUGCCGCGUGUGUGAAGAAGGUCUUCGGAUUGUAAAGCACUUUAAGUUGGGAGGAAGGGCAGUAAGUUAAUACCUUGCUGUUUUGACGUUACCAACAGAAUAAGCACCGGCUAACUUCGUGCCAGCAGCCGCGGUAAUACGAAGGGUGCAAGCGUUAAUCGGAAUUACUGGGCGUAAAGCGCGCGUAGGUGGUUCAGCAAGUUGGAGGUGAAAUCCCCGGGCUCAACCUGGGAACUGCCUACAAAACUACUGAGCUAGAGUACGGUAGAGGGUAGUGGAAUUUCCUGUGUAGCGGUGAAAUGCGUAGAUAUAGGAAGGAACACCAGUGGCGAAGGCGACUACCUGGACUGAUACUGACACUGAGGUGCGAAAGCGUGGGGAGCAAACAGGAUUAGAUACCCUAGUAGUCC